RNAcentral lists this ribosomal RNA (449 nucleotides) under uncultured bacterium. RNAcentral describes it as "partial 16S ribosomal RNA". It matches the Rfam family "Bacterial small subunit ribosomal RNA", at positions 29 to 523 of the family's 1533-position model. The record is from RNAcentral.
AACGAACGCUGGCGGCAUGCCUAACACAUGCAAGUCGAACGAGAUCUUCGGGUCUAGUGGCGCACGGGUGCGUAACGCGUGGGAAUCUGCCCUUUGGUUCGGAAUAACAGUUGGAAACGACUGCUAAUACCGGAUGAUGACGAAAGUCCAAAGAUUUAUCGCCAGAGGAUGAGCCCGCGUAGGAUUAGCUAGUUGGUGUGGUAAAGGCGCACCAAGGCGACGAUCCUUAGCUGGUCUGAGGGGAUGAUCAGCCACACUGGGACUGAGACACGGCCCAGACUCCUACGGGAGGCAGCAGUGGGGAAUAUUGGACAAUGGGCGAAAGCCUGAUCCAACAAUGCCGCGUGAGUGAUGAAGGCCUUAGGGUUGUAAAGCUCUUUUACCCGGGAUGAUAAUGACAGUACCGGGAGAAUAAGCUCCGGCUAACUCCGUGCCAGCAGCCGCCGUAA